CCGGCACGGGUGAGUAACACGUAUCCAACCUGCCGUCUACUCUUGGACAGCCUUCUGAAAGGAGGAUUAAUACAAGAUGGCAUCAUGAGUCCGCAUGUUCACAUGAUUAAAGGUAUUCCGGUAGACGAUGGGGAUGCGUUCCAUUAGAUAGUAGGCGGGGUAACGGCCCACCUAGUCUUCGAUGGAUAGGGGUUCUGAGAGGAAGGUCCCCCACAUUGGAACUGAGACACGGUCCAA
Molecule: ribosomal RNA, 237 nt
Filed under: uncultured bacterium
Lineage: Bacteria
Description: partial 16S ribosomal RNA
Rfam family: Bacterial small subunit ribosomal RNA
Source: RNAcentral